Molecule: transfer RNA, 76 nt
Filed under: Ilumatobacteraceae bacterium
Lineage: Bacteria; Bacillati; Actinomycetota; Acidimicrobiia; Acidimicrobiales; Ilumatobacteraceae
Description: tRNA-Arg
Rfam family: tRNA (bases 8-66)
About the family: Transfer RNA (tRNA) molecules are approximately 80 nucleotides in length.
Source: RNAcentral
GCGCAAAGUACUCAAAAAGAAAGGGAUCUGACUUCGGAUCAGAGGGUUGGCGGUUCGAGUCCGUCCGAGCGCACCA